Molecule: non-coding RNA, 224 nt
Organism: Pelobates cultripes (western spadefoot toad)
Lineage: Eukaryota; Metazoa; Chordata; Amphibia; Anura; Pelobatidae
Source: the annotation of a GenBank genome assembly
CAAAGAGGCCCCAUAACACGGCCUACCAAAGAGGCCCCAUUAACAACUGUUUAACUUGUAGGGGUGUACCGAGACACCCCUACACCCCCAGAUUCAGAGCCACCGAUGAGCUCGAACCUACCAACCAAUUGAACCACUCCAGCCUAAUCCAGCCUAAACCUUGCCAUGACCACUUCAUACUCCACCUGCUUCCCAUUUAUCCUAGCCCUUCCCCGCCGCUGUGA